RNAcentral lists this ribosomal RNA (760 nucleotides) under Actinobacteridae bacterium 14-07PB. RNAcentral's name for it is "bacterial SSU rRNA". It matches the Rfam family "Bacterial small subunit ribosomal RNA", at positions 114 to 876 of the family's 1533-position model. The record is from RNAcentral. Lineage: Bacteria; Bacillati; Actinomycetota; Actinomycetes.
CACGUGAGUAACCUGCCCUUAACUCUGGGAUAAGCCUGGGAAACUGGGUCUAAUACUGGAUAUUUACUUAUCACCGCAUGGUGGUUGGUGGAAAGCUUUAUUGUGGUUUUGGAUGGACUCGCGGCCUAUCAGCUUGUUGGUGAGGUAAUGGCUCACCAAGGCGACGACGGGUAGCCGGCCUGAGAGGGUGACCGGCCACACUGGGACUGAGACACGGCCCAGACUCCUACGGGAGGCAGCAGUGGGGAAUAUUGCACAAUGGGCGCAAGCCUGAUGCAGCGACGCCGCGUGAGGGAUGAAUGCCUUCGGGUUGUAAACCUCUUUCAGUAGGGAAGAAGCCUUUUCGUAAGGUGACGGUACUUGCAGAAGAAGCGCCGGCUAACUACGUGCCAGCAGCCGCGGUAAUACGUAGGGCGCAAGCGUUAUCCGGAAUUAUUGGGCGUAAAGAGCUCGUAGGCGGUUUGUCGCGUCUGCCGUGAAAGUCCGGGGCUCAACUCCGGAUCUGCGGUGGGUACGGGCAGACUAGAGUGAUGUAGGGGAGACUGGAAUUCCUGGUGUAGCGGUGAAAUGCGCAGAUAUCAGGAGGAACACCGAUGGCGAAGGCAGGUCUCUGGGCAUUAACUGACGCUGAGGAGCGAAAGCAUGGGGAGCGAACAGGAUUAGAUACCCUGGUAGUCCAUGCCGUAAACGUUGGGCACUAGGUGUGGGGGACAUUCCACGUUUUCCGCGCCGUAGCUAACGCAUUAAGUGCCCCGCCUGG